UCAACGUUAUUUACAGUUUAU
RNAcentral lists this small nuclear RNA (21 nucleotides) under Arabidopsis thaliana (thale cress). Its description in RNAcentral is "snRNA_07962". The record is from RNAcentral. Lineage: Eukaryota; Viridiplantae; Streptophyta; Magnoliopsida; Brassicales; Brassicaceae.